UGCUUCCAAACCAUGUGACUUGGACUCGUUUGAAAAAGAUUAUAUUUCAUUCCCCCUCCCCCAUUCCCGUGUUUUGUCCCUAAGCAUCCUUUCCCCACUUCCCUAGGGCACUCGCCUUUCCGGAAAUGCCCUCGCCCAGCGGGCAGCCUCCACAUCCCGAGGAGGUCUCAGCCUCACCCUCCCAGCUGCCACGCCCUGACCUGGUCCUCACCAGCUUCUGCCCACCCAGAGCCUUUCUGGGGCACAAUGUCAAGCUCUUCAUGGAGUGGAGGAUGUAGGCGUGGAUCAGAGAAUCGCCAAAGUGUGAUCCAGCCAUGAUAAAGAGGUGCCUGAUGCUCUCAAAAUUGAAGAUGGUGAUCUGACCUGCUGUGAAGCAGUCAGGGAGGAUACAGGUUCGCUGCUGCUGCAAGGCCGGUACCUUAGCUACUUGGUCCUUCAACACACCCUUUCUCAGCAGGCUUCCCUCAUCUGACCCGUCCUAUGCUGAUAUGCCAUUCUGAACCUGCGAGCCAUGACUUUCCUAUCUCAUUUGUCACUAAGAGACCUUCUUGUCACUUAAGUGUGCUUCUUGCCUCUUAUCAAUUAAACUAUGGUAUAAAUUUCUAAGGGGGCUUCCCUGGUGGCUCAGAUAGGAAAGAAUUCACCUGCAGUGUGGGAGACCUGGGAUCAAUCCCUGGGUUUCGAAGAUUCCCUGGAGGAGGGCAUCACAACCCACUCCAGUAUCCUUGCCUGGAGAAUCCCAUGGACAGAGGAGUCUGGCGGGUUACAGUCCAAUCCAUGGGGGCGCAAAGAGUUGGACAGGACUGAGCGACUAAGCACAGCACUGCACAUAAGCUUCUAAAAGGCAGAAUCCGUGUAAUUCUGCAAUGCCGCACCUUGAAGAACAAGAUAGAUUUUAACAAAUCCCUUUAAAUUUAAGUGCCAGUGAUCUUUAUCAUCCUGAGAAGCCUCUAAGGUUAC
RNAcentral lists this long non-coding RNA (960 nucleotides) under Bos indicus x Bos taurus (hybrid cattle). Its description in RNAcentral is "lncRNA (ENSBIXG00005000678.1)". Lineage: Eukaryota; Metazoa; Chordata; Mammalia; Artiodactyla; Bovidae. The record is from RNAcentral.